RNAcentral lists this long non-coding RNA (7129 nucleotides) under Zea mays. RNAcentral's name for it is "long non-coding RNA (ZMAY_LNC002094)". The record is from RNAcentral. Lineage: Eukaryota; Viridiplantae; Streptophyta; Magnoliopsida; Poales; Poaceae.
AUUAUAAGGAGACAACGGUCCAGCAACCCAAAGUUGACUGGGAGACGACGACCUAGACCUCUCACGAACUCAUCACAGCAUCCUCCAUGAGCAUCAUCCUGCAGUACCUGGUCUUGACCUGUGGUGUAUGUGAGACAGCAAGAGUGAGCUCACAUACGUUCAUCGCUCAACAAGUUGUGGGGAAUAAUGUGCAUGAACUCGCCAAAGGUGGGAGCUCACGUGAAGUGUAAGGCUUACCAAAGAAGAUGGUUAGAGCUGAGCAUUGCUUUUAAAGUUGGUCAAAAUUUUAUUAGCAGUUACUAAGUAUAAGUAAAUACCAACCCAAUUAAAUAGUAGAACAAAAGUAACCACAUCACCUGCAAUGCAAUGCAUAUGACAAAUUGAGUUUAGUUCCAUAAAUUAAUCAUGUGAGUGUCCGAGCCGCUCAUGACCGUGAGCACGGCUAGUAUACCAGUUUUACACUCUGCAGAGGUUGCGCAUCUUUACCCACAAGUCGUGUAUCCCAUGUCGCCAGGGUUUGCAAGGCCCUUAGACACUUCCGAGGUGAAUGGCUAGGGAUCCACUACGUGGCCUUUACAAAGUUCCACUAGCUUCCGAAAACCCGCUACAGUUUAUAGGAAGAUCCAGUACAGGAAUCCCUUGCAGGACCGCCAUCGCAGCAAAAUCCUCCCGAGGGCCUCCCCGCACUGACCUCUCCCCUACUGCCCUUGCCCCUUUCGGGUAAGGUAGUCUUCCACUAGCUUUCCUAAUUAAUCAGCCAAGGGCGUCCCAUUAAACCCUUGUGGUAGCACUGUUUUCCCGGGUGGUUCUCCAUGUUCCAAUUAACAUAAUGAUCUCAAUAUGAACAAUAAAUAAUAACUGAUAACAAAAGUGUAACCAUGAAUAGUGUAUCUCCAUACCCAAAACCACAUAUAGCACUAGCAAGUACUACCCAGAAAGUUCAGUGGUGAACAAGGUAUAAAGAUAAUCAAACUAGGUAACCUGUUGGGUCCCAUCAAAAUUAACCUAUGCAGAUCAUUAUGAUUAAUCAGAACAUGAGUGGGUAAAAAGAAGUGAUCAAGGGCACAACUUGCCUGGGCCUUGAGAUUCCAGGUACCAGGAUGAUCUUCAGGUGACACGUGACCUCGCACUAGUCGUAGCAAUACAAACAAACAGUGUAUAGGCAAAAUUAACAUUACAUCAAACAUGUAUGCAAAAUACAUAUUAAUAAUCUACAUAUUAAAGUAAGAUCACAGGAAAAAGAAUUAUUAAUUUUUGAGUUAUAGAAUUCAAGUUAUGAAUUUCCUAAGAUUUAAGGUGAUUAUAAUAUGAUUAAAUGAUAAAUAAAUUUUCUUGACAGAGUUCAUGACAAAACAGUGAUUCUAAAUGGUAGAGAAUAUUGUUACAAAAUUUUAGGAAUUGGAAUGACUCAAUUUGGAGCUAAAAUGAAUUAGUUAUGAAUUAAUUAAGUUUCUGGAUUUAUUUUAACACUAAAAAUCAUUUUCUAAAUCAUUUUCUAUGAUUUUCCUAUUCACUGGACUGGGCCUCAAAUACCAGAAAACACAGGGGUCUCGGUGUAAUUCGCCACAGACACAGGGAACAGUGACAUAUGGACGGCGGGUUCUAUUUCUGUAAAACCCAGGGGCUCUUUAAUAAAUUUCCUGACCGAAAGGGUAUCACGCGAUCUGAGCCGCCCGAUCUAACUCUGACGGUCCAGAUUAGAUCGCGUUUUAAUCGAACCGGUAUGCGAUUCAAGCCCUCGGAUUCGAAUCUGACGGUGGUUAUUUUAUGAAAGCAAGAUCGGAUCGGGUCCGUCAGAUCACAUCCAACGGUCCCAAUGCCACGCGUGAAGGGGGUAACUUGAAUCUAAUCUCGUCCGUUCAUCUCGCAUCAACGGUCAGGGAGCCAUCUCCCCAAUCCAGCUCAACUCGCCCUACCCGACGGCGCUCCCCGGCGAUGGUUCACCGGAGUAGGCGCAAUUCCGGCCGACCAAGUCCCCAAUCCCGAAUUCACUCAACCUACGUGAGAUUCGCAACGGCCCGCACCCAUGUCGCCCCUCAAUUCCAGCCGCGACACAGCGCAAAUACCCUGCCCACGGCACAGCCAAGCUCACGGCGGAGAUGGUUACUCCGAUGAGCGAUUCGACGAGGUCCGGUCACCAAAUAGGCCAGCCAAGGGGUCCACACACACCAGAGGUUAAUGCGAACACGAUAGAAGCGAAUUUACCGUGGAUUAUGUACCGAUGAUCACGGGUCACGAGCAAUGGCGGCUCCGCCGUGAACCUUUCGCUUCGGUGAGCAAUUGGGGACGCCAUGAUGACCGCGCCACCCAGUUUCGGCCAUGGGCGCAUUCCUAAGAACGCGGUGAAGCUCCCAGACCCGCAGUUGGGACCCCGUCGAUGGUGUACACGUGAUUCGUUCGCGGCGGAUCUUCCUCUCUCCUCUCGGCACGGCACCCUUCCCUCUCUGUUGUUUUCUCUCGGUGGCUGCGUGAAGACGUCGGUAGAUGCGCAGCUAGCGGCGCCAGGUUCACGACUUUAUAGCCUGGGCGAGUUGCAAUAACCAACACAGGGCGGAUUAGGAUCCCGCGAUCCCCGGCGGAGUUUUACAACGACCGAAAGCUGACCUCAAUUCGGACUUGGAGAAGACGACCAACGGUGGGUCCCACACGGCAGGGAGUUGAGAGGAGGCUGAGUGGCUGAUUUGUGGGGACAUACCUGUCGGCACGCCAUUUUCCCCAGUUGGGCCGCGCGCGGCUGGUUUCAUCUGGUGGGCCGAGGGGAGAAGCCAGCCCAAGCGCAAGGAGAUCUUUUCCCUUUUUUAUUUUCUUUUCUUCAAAUUUCAGUUUUCCAAUUCUAAUUUAAAUUCAAAUUUUUCAGAGUUCAGAUUUCAAAAUUAUAUGCAUCUCAUAAAACUCCAGUAUGAGUGCAAGGAUCCAUAUGUUCAUAUUAAUUAUUUUAUCCAUGCUUCAAAACAUAUAAAUUAACAAAGAGUAUUUCACAACUCAUUUAUAUUGGGAUGGUUUCCUAAACAUUUCCUAGUUUCCUAGCUUAAGCUUGUUUCACAAUUUUCAAUACAAAGUGUAAACUCAUAAGGAAACUUCAUGGAAUGCACAUUUAUGUAUCUAUUUUAUUUGUUAUUUACAUAAUUUAAUGCCAUUGAUUGAAUAUGUAGAGAAAAUCAAGGGAUCCCCGAAACAUCCACUUUAUAAAUUUACUUAUUUAUUAUUUUUUUUUCUCUUACCAAUUUUUGGGCUUUACAAAUCCUACCCCCCUUAAAAAUAAUCUCGUCCUCGAGAUUUGUAAGAAAAGGGUUACAGAGAAAUUGGUUUGAAAUCUAUAUUAAGUGGUUUUAGUACCAAAAGAUUUUUUUUUUCAAGUCUAAACCCAAAUUGGCAGGUGAUUAGGAAAGCAUGGGUGUAUAUAUGUAUGUCUACUUUAUUAUGUAGGAUAGAAGAUGUCUUUAGGGCAUAUAUAGGUUUGGGUAAGAAAGAGUAGGAUAAGAAAAGACUUCAUCCUAGAUUGUGGAUCUUGACUCAUCUUGGUGAUCUCACUUGAUCCUUGAAGACUUGAGUUGAUGCUCAUCCUUUCUUGAUGAAGUUGAUCAUCUUCUUCUCCAGUCUUGGUCUCAUUGAUUCAUGGUUAGUGUAUAUCAUCGGUUGGGAAUAUGGUUAAGAUAGAUAUGGAUGAGAUAGACUACAUGAUAUAGGUCAAAAGUUUGUUUGUUGUUAGGUGGGGAUAGGCAGAUUAUGCAAUCCAUCAAGACUCUAUUGGUUGGGUUGGUCUAUCAGUCUUUAUUUAGUGUAGGGUGGACUAAAUUACAACAUGUGAAUAGGGUCUAAUCCAUUUCACAAGUAUUAACUGGUCCAUUAAGUAACUCAUUUUUUUUUAAAUUAGAUCAUAGUAGGUUAGAUGUGAUCUAGAUUAGAUUGGUAUGACUGGUUUGACUAGAUAUGAUCUAAUUAAUCUUGCAUUAGAUCAUGGUUGUUAAACUAGGGUGGAUAAGUAUGCCUAUUAGGAUAAGAUGGAUCCAUAAAGAUAAGAUAAAAUCUUUUGAGGUCAGUUAGAUCUAUUAGGAUGAGAUACAAUCUUUUCAAGAUAAGAUGAGUAUCAUUUAAGAUAAGAUGGAUCUAUUAAGACAAGGGAGAAUCUUUUAAGAUAAGAUGAAUUGGCUAGAAUGAGAGCCUUUAGGAUAAGAUAAUUCUCUUAAGCUAGAUAGGUUCCAAAUGGGAUAAUUUAGGUUGCCUAGUUAUUUUAUAAAUAUAUUUUUAUACCUAUGUGUAUAUGCAGAUGUAAUUGUGGACAUUACUCCACAACCCAUCACACUCAAUCAAAGAUCCAAAUCAGACAGAUAUCAUAAGAACAAACAUUCAAGUGCAUAGAUAAAAAUAGUUUUGUUUUUGUUCCUAAGAUUAGGUCUCCUAUUCCUAAAAGUCACUUUAGGCAUAGGAUUUCAAAGUGUGAAAUCCACAUUUGUUUUUCAGAAAGAAAAGAUAAGAAUAAUCAGAGUAAAGCGGAAAUAGAUGAGAAAAGAUUAAGAUAAGUUUAGAAAGGAUCAGAGUAGCAAAGGUGAGUAGAUAAUGGUUGUCCAGUUCUAUCUAGGUUUCGUCCUACAGUCAACAUUCCUCUGAUACCACUUCUGUAACACCCGGAUUUUAGGGGUCCAAAACCCGGGCGCUAACAUAAACACCAGGUAUGCUGGGACCAAGUCUCAUACAUAUGAUGUAUAGUGGCACAGGAUCGAAUGUCACAACUUUAUAUAUAACAGGAGUUCUAUACAAAAUAAAUAAUUACAUUAUAAGGAGACAACGGUCCAGCAACCCAAAGUUGACUGGGAGACGACGACCUAGACCUCUCACGAACUCAUCACAGCAUCCUCCAUGAGCAUCAUCCUGCAGUACCUGGUCUUGACCUGUGGUGUAUGUGAGACAGCAAGAGUGAGCUCACAUACGUUCAUCGCUCAACAAGUUGUGGGGAAUAAUGUGCAUGAACUCGCCAAAGGUGGGAGCUCACGUGAAGUGUAAGGCUUACCAAAGAAGAUGGUUAGAGCUGAGCAUUGCUUUUAAAGUUGGUCAAAAUUUUAUUAGCAGUUACUAAGUAUAAGUAAAUACCAACCCAAUUAAAUAGUAGAACAAAAGUAACCACAUCACCUGCAAUGCAAUGCAUAUGACAAAUUGAGUUUAGUUCCAUAAAUUAAUCAUGUGAGUGUCCGAGCCGCUCAUGACCGUGAGCACGGCUAGUAUACCAGUUUUACACUCUGCAGAGGUUGCGCAUCUUUACCCACAAGUCGUGUAUCCCAUGUCGCCAGGGUUUGCAAGGCCCUUAGACACUUCCGAGGUGAAUGGCUAGGGAUCCACUACGUGGCCUUUACAAAGUUCCACUAGCUUCCGAAAACCCGCUACAGUUUAUAGGAAGAUCCAGUACAGGAAUCCCUUGCAGGACCGCCAUCGCAGCAAAAUCCUCCCGAGGGCCUCCCCGCACUGACCUCUCCCCUACUGCCCUUGCCCCUUUCGGGUAAGGUAGUCUUCCACUAGCUUUCCUAAUUAAUCAGCCAAGGGCGUCCCAUUAAACCCUUGUGGUAGCACUGUUUUCCCGGGUGGUUCUCCAUGUUCCAAUUAACAUAAUGAUCUCAAUAUGAACAAUAAAUAAUAACUGAUAACAAAAGUGUAACCAUGAAUAGUGUAUCUCCAUACCCAAAACCACAUAUAGCACUAGCAAGUACUACCCAGAAAGUUCAGUGGUGAACAAGGUAUAAAGAUAAUCAAACUAGGUAACCUGUUGGGUCCCAUCAAAAUUAACCUAUGCAGAUCAUUAUGAUUAAUCAGAACAUGAGUGGGUAAAAAGAAGUGAUCAAGGGCACAACUUGCCUGGGCCUUGAGAUUCCAGGUACCAGGAUGAUCUUCAGGUGACACGUGACCUCGCACUAGUCGUAGCAAUACAAACAAACAGUGUAUAGGCAAAAUUAACAUUACAUCAAACAUGUAUGCAAAAUACAUAUUAAUAAUCUACAUAUUAAAGUAAGAUCACAGGAAAAAGAAUUAUUAAUUUUUGAGUUAUAGAAUUCAAGUUAUGAAUUUCCUAAGAUUUAAGGUGAUUAUAAUAUGAUUAAAUGAUAAAUAAAUUUUCUUGACAGAGUUCAUGACAAAACAGUGAUUCUAAAUGGUAGAGAAUAUUGUUACAAAAUUUUAGGAAUUGGAAUGACUCAAUUUGGAGCUAAAAUGAAUUAGUUAUGAAUUAAUUAAGUUUCUGGAUUUAUUUUAACACUAAAAAUCAUUUUCUAAAUCAUUUUCUAUGAUUUUCCUAUUCACUGGACUGGGCCUCAAAUACCAGAAAACACAGGGGUCUCGGUGUAAUUCGCCACAGACACAGGGAACAGUGACAUAUGGACGGCGGGUUCUAUUUCUGUAAAACCCAGGGGCUCUUUAAUAAAUUUCCUGACCGAAAGGGUAUCACGCGAUCUGAGCCGCCCGAUCUAACUCUGACGGUCCAGAUUAGAUCGCGUUUUAAUCGAACCGGUAUGCGAUUCAAGCCCUCGGAUUCGAAUCUGACGGUGGUUAUUUUAUGAAAGCAAGAUCGGAUCGGGUCCGUCAGAUCACAUCCAACGGUCCCAAUGCCACGCGUGAAGGGGGUAACUUGAAUCUAAUCUCGUCCGUUCAUCUCGCAUCAACGGUCAGGGAGCCAUCUCCCCAAUCCAGCUCAACUCGCCCUACCCGACGGCGCUCCCCGGCGAUGGUUCACCGGAGUAGGCGCAAUUCCGGCCGACCAAGUCCCCAAUCCCGAAUUCACUCAACCUACGUGAGAUUCGCAACGGCCCGCACCCAUGUCGCCCCUCAAUUCCAGCCGCGACACAGCGCAAAUACCCUGCCCACGGCACAGCCAAGCUCACGGCGGAGAUGGUUACUCCGAUGAGCGAUUCGACGAGGUCCGGUCACCAAAUAGGCCAGCCAAGGGGUCCACACACACCAGAGGUUAAUGCGAACACGAUAGAAGCGAAUUUACCGUGGAUUAUGUACCGAUGAUCACGGGUCACGAGCAAUGGCGGCUCCGCCGUGAACCUUUCGCUUCGGUGAGCAAUUGGGGACGCCAUGAUGACCGCGCCACCCAGUUUCGGCCAUGGGCGCAUUCCUAAGAACGCGGUGAAGCUCCCAGACC